CCCGGUGGUCAUAGCGAGCGGGAACCACCCGAACCCAUCUCGAACUCGGAAGUGAAAACGCUCAGCGCCGAUGAUAGUGUGGGGUUUCCCCAUGUGAAAGUAGGACACUGCCGGGG
RNAcentral lists this ribosomal RNA (116 nucleotides) under Gammaproteobacteria bacterium. The record is from RNAcentral. Lineage: Bacteria; Pseudomonadati; Pseudomonadota; Gammaproteobacteria.